UGUGAUACUUGCUGGUCUCCAUCACCACUUUACAGGCUUAUAUAACCUUUGCUGAACGUUUAGUCACACCUGUAUGCUGGUUACAUCAUAGCCUACAUGUUACUACUCCUCCCCCGAGAGAGCACCAUAUUUAAACUGAAAGAUUAAAUCCAUGGUCAGCUGUCAAAACAACAGAGGAGCAUUUCUGGUGUAAAUUUGGUGCCUUUGUAGGAGACUGAAAAAUCUUGACCCUAUUUCUCCAAAGUAUUUCCUGAUGGAUCUGGUAAUAAAUGAGUAAAAAUGUUGGCAUCUUUAAGCAAAUGGCUCUUACCUGAGGUAUCAUAUAUGUAUUCUUGUGUCAGUUCUGUUUGGGUGGCUUAUUUGCUCCUCUCCCUCCCAGCUACUUGAGUCAUCCUUCUUUUAUUCAAGCAUUUGCUUAUGAAUAGUGAUGUAGUGUUUCAGGUGUGGAAAGGAAGAGGCAAGAUUUGGGUAAUAGGUUGGAUGUAAUAAUCUCAAAGGUCUUUACAAACCUGCUUGAUUCUCUGAUUCUGUGAUCAUGGUGUCUUCCAAAUCCUACCUUCGGGCAAGUGAAACAUCACUGUGAGAAUAGAAUAGAGCAGAAUAGAGCAGAAUAGAAUAGAAUAGAAUAGAAUAGAAUAGAAUAGAAUAGAGUAGAAUAGAAUAGAAUAGAAUAGAAUAGAAUAGAAUAGAAUAGAAUAGAAUAGAAUAGAAUAGAAUAGAAUAGAAUAGAACAGAACAGAACAGAAUGAAAUAGAAUAGAAUAUAAUAGAAUAGAACAAAAUAGAACAGAACAGAAUGGAAUAGAAUAGACUCAAACAGAAUAGGAUAGAAUAGACUAGAACAGAAUGGAAUGGAAUGGAAUAGAAUAGAAUAGAAUAGAAUAGAAUAGAAUAGAAUAGAAUAGAAUAGAAUAGAAUAGAAUAGAAUAGAAUAGAACAGAAUAGAAAGGAAUAGAACAGAACAGAACAGAAUAGAAAAGAAUAGAACAGAACAUAAUAGAAAGGAAUAGAAUAGAAUAGAAUAGAAUAGAAUAGAAUAGAAUAGAAUAGAAUAGAACAGAAUGGAAUAGAAUAGACUCAAACAGAAUAGAACAGGAGAGAAGAGAAGAGAAGAGAAGAGAAGAGAAGAGAAGAGAAGAGAAGAGAAGAGAAGAGAAGAGAAGAGAAGAGAAGAGAAAGGAAUAGAACAGAAUAGAAAGAAAUAGAAUAGAUUAGAAUAGAAUGGAAUGGAAUAGAAUAGAAUAGAACAGAACAGAACAGAACAGAACAGAACAGAAUAUAAUAGAACAGAACAUAAUGGAAUAGACUAGACUAGACUAGAAUAGAAUAGAACAGGACAGAACAGAACAGAAUAGAAAGAAAUAGAACAGAACAUAUUAGAAUAGAAUGGAAUAGAACAGAAUAGAAUAGAUCAGAAUGGAACAGAAUAGAAUACAAUAGAAUAAAACAGAACAGAAUCGAAUACAAUAGAAUAGAAAAGAAUAGAGUCAACCAGGUUGGAGGAGACUUCCAAGAUCAUCCAGUCCACUCUGCACUUCCUAAAUGCAAUAUUACCACCUCCCGUGCCCUCUGUAGGGGCCUUGCUGAGGUUGUGUUCAGGAUGUGAUGCUGCUCAUACUCUAUCUGCUGUGCUAUAAGCUAUUGUGUCAUCAAAACCUGAAGGUCAGCGUUGGAGUUUGUGUGAAAGUGCAGCACGGAGCACUAAGUAGCAUGAAAGCGGAAGUCUGAAGAAGAGGAGUGGCAGCCAAGAGCAUUUGGAAGCCAUGCAGAUGUGGACAGCAAGAUUUCUGGCAGAACCAGUCAAGGUCACCAAAUCUCUACUUGUUUGGUCUCAGCUGAAAUUAAGCACCGUUUUAAGAACAAAAGAAGACGGCUGAAGGACUCCUGCUCGCCGACAUUGAGCGUGGAAAUUGUGUCAUAGAUUUGUACCUCACUAAACAAUAAACACUUCAUUAAAGAAUAA
Molecule: long non-coding RNA, 1962 nt
Organism: Pogoniulus pusillus (Red-fronted tinkerbird)
Lineage: Eukaryota; Metazoa; Chordata; Aves; Piciformes; Lybiidae
Exons: 2
Source: RefSeq, a predicted model, not a curated record